AGUGAACGCUGGCGGUAGGCCUAACACAUGCAAGUCGAACGGCAGCACAGUAAGAGCUUGCUCUUACGGGUGGCGAGUGGCGGACGGGUGAGGAAUACAUCGGAAUCUACUUUUUCGUGGGGGAUAACGUAGGGAAACUUACGCUAAUACCGCAUACGACCUACGGGUGGAAGCAGGGGAUCUUCGGACCUUGCGCGAUUGAAUGAGCCGAUGUCGGAUUAGCUAGUUGGCGGGGUAAAGGCCCACCAAGGCGACGAUCCGUAGCUGGUCUGAGAGGAUGAUCAGCCACACUGGAACUGAGACACGGUCCAGACUCCUACGGGAGGCAGCAGUGGGGAAUAUUGGACAAUGGGCGCAAGCCUGAUCCAGCCAUACCGCGUGGGUGAAGAAGGCCUUCGGGUUGUAAAGCCCUUUUGUUGGGAAAGAAAAGCAGCAGGUUAAUACCCCGCUGUUCUGACGGUACCCAAAGAAUAGGCACCGGCUAACUUCGUG
RNAcentral lists this ribosomal RNA (492 nucleotides) under uncultured bacterium. RNAcentral's name for it is "partial 16S ribosomal RNA". It matches the Rfam family "Bacterial small subunit ribosomal RNA", at positions 29 to 507 of the family's 1533-position model. The record is from RNAcentral.